AGCUCCAAUAGCGUAUAUUAAAGUUGUUGCAGUUAAAAAGCUCGUAGUUGAACCUUGGGCUUGGUUGGCCGGUCCGCCUUUUUGGCGAGUACUGGACCCAACCGAGCCUUUCCUUCUGGCUAACCUUUCGCCCUUGUGGUGUUUGGCGAACCAGGACUUUUACUUUGAAAAAAUUAGAGUGUUCAAAGCAGGCCUUUGCUCGAAUAUAUUAGCAUGGAAUAAUAGAAUAGGACGUUAUGGUUCUAUUUUGUUGGUUUCUAGGACCAUCGUAAUGAUUAAUAGGGACGGUCGGGGGCAUCAGUAUUUAGUUGUCAGAGGUGAAAUUCUUGGAUUUACUGAAGACUAACUACUGCGAAAGCAUUUGCCAAGGACGUUUUCA
Molecule: ribosomal RNA, 379 nt
Filed under: uncultured eukaryote
Lineage: Eukaryota
Description: SSU rRNA
Rfam family: Eukaryotic small subunit ribosomal RNA
Source: RNAcentral